RNAcentral lists this transfer RNA (72 nucleotides) under Camelus ferus (Wild Bactrian camel). It matches the Rfam family "tRNA". Rfam says of the family: Transfer RNA (tRNA) molecules are approximately 80 nucleotides in length. Their secondary structure includes four short double-helical elements and three loops (D, anti-codon, and T loops). Further hydrogen bonds mediate the characteristic L-shaped molecular structure. tRNAs have two regions of fundamental functional importance: the anti-codon, which is responsible for specific mRNA codon recognition, and the 3' end, to which the tRNAs corresponding amino acid is attached (by aminoacyl-tRNA synthetases). tRNAs cope with the degeneracy of the genetic code in two manners: having more than one tRNA (with a specific anti-codon) for a particular amino acid; and 'wobble' base-pairing, i.e. permitting non-standard base-pairing at the 3rd anti-codon position. The record is from Rfam by way of RNAcentral. Lineage: Eukaryota; Metazoa; Chordata; Mammalia; Artiodactyla; Camelidae.
GAGGGUAUAGCUCAGUGGUAGAGCACAUGCUUAGUAUGCAUGAAGUCCUGAAUUCAAUCCCCAGUACCUCCU